Molecule: unclassified non-coding RNA, 186 nt
Organism: Anser brachyrhynchus (Pink-footed goose)
Lineage: Eukaryota; Metazoa; Chordata; Aves; Anseriformes; Anatidae
Source: Ensembl
CUGACAGCAUUGGAAACAGAAGUCUUCUUUGUGUCCACUAAACAGGUACAGCGUGAGCAGCAGCAGUGCAAGCUUCACCACACUGCCCCACCAAAGCGGUGCAAACCCUGACCUAGAGAGAGACCUCUGUAGCAAGGGUUAAAAGGCUUGUUCAGUCUCCAUGCUCACUCAGUCUUUACUGAGGCU